This 399-nucleotide ribosomal RNA is filed under the name uncultured bacterium. RNAcentral's name for it is "bacterial SSU rRNA". It matches the Rfam family "Bacterial small subunit ribosomal RNA", at positions 355 to 746 of the family's 1533-position model. The record is from RNAcentral.
CUAAGAAUAUUCCGCAAUGGACGAAAGUCUGACGGAGCGACGCCGCGUGGAUGACGAAGGCCGAAAGGUUGUAAAAUCCUUUUGCUGGGGAAGAAUAAGCGCAGGAGGGAAUGCCUGCGUGAUGACAUGAACCGGCGAAUAAGCCCCGGCUAACUACGUGCCAGCAGCCGCGGUAACACGUAGGGGGCGAGCGUUGUUCGGAAUUACUGGGCGUAAAGGGCAUGUAGGCGGCCUUGUAAGCCUGGCGUGAAAGUCCACGGCUCAACCGUGGGAUUGCGUCGGGAACUGCGAGGCUCGAGUGACGGAGGGGGAGCUAGAAUUCCUGGUGUAGGGGUGAAAUCUGUAGAUAUCAGGAAGAAUACCAAUGGCGAAGGCAAGCUCCUGGCCGAUGACUGACGC